GAUGAACGCUGGCGGCGUGCCUAAUACAUGCAAGUCGAGCGAACGGACGAGAAGCUUGCUUCUCUGAUGAUAGCGGCGGACGGGUGAGUAACACGUGGAUAACCUACUUAUAAUACUUGGAUAACUUCGGGAAACCGGAGCUAAUACCGGCUAAUAUUUUGAACCGCAUGGUUCAAAAGUGAAAGACGGUUUUGCUGUCACUUUUAGAUGGAUCCGCGCUGCAUUAGCUAGUUGGUAAGGUAACGGCUUACCAAGGCAACGAUGCAUAGCGGACCUGAGAGGGUGAUCGGCCACACUGGAACUGAGACACGGUCCAGACUCCUACGGGAGGCAGCAGUAGGGAAUCUUCCGCAAUGGGCGAAAGCCUGACGGAGCAACGCCGCGUGAGUGAUGAAGGUCUUCGGAUCGUAAAACUCUGUUAUUAGGGAAGAACAUAUGUGUAAGUAACUGUGCACAUCUUGACGGUACCUAAUCAGAAAGCCACGGCUAACUACGU
This 496-nucleotide ribosomal RNA is filed under the name uncultured bacterium. RNAcentral describes it as "partial 16S ribosomal RNA". It matches the Rfam family "Bacterial small subunit ribosomal RNA", at positions 28 to 506 of the family's 1533-position model. The record is from RNAcentral.